This 216-nucleotide long non-coding RNA is filed under the name Elaeis guineensis (African oil palm). RNAcentral's name for it is "long non-coding RNA (EGUI_LNC060795)". The record is from RNAcentral. Lineage: Eukaryota; Viridiplantae; Streptophyta; Magnoliopsida; Arecales; Arecaceae.
AUCAAGCAAUCAAUUCAAAUUCAAGAUCAAGCCUAAAAUCUAGCAAAUAAUCAAGCUAAAAUUAAUCUCAAGAAAAGCUCUAUCAAAUCCAAAUGCGCCUAAAGGAAGGAAAGGAGCACGGCCCAGAAACAGCCAAACGGUCUUCUGUUCGGCGGUCUUGCGCUGGUUCAAAGGCAAUAAUUUUUUUUCAAAAGAAGAGAGCAGUCCACACACAAC